RNAcentral lists this unclassified non-coding RNA (238 nucleotides) under Hevea brasiliensis (rubber tree). The record is from RNAcentral. Lineage: Eukaryota; Viridiplantae; Streptophyta; Magnoliopsida; Malpighiales; Euphorbiaceae.
GUGGUUUCCCGCUUUCCAAAUGAAGCAAGCAUCGUUACAAAACCACUGGGCAAAAGUAUACCGCUUAAGAUUCUGAGCAUUGGACGCAAAGCGCAUAUUGACCAUACCUGUGUAGCCACUUGAAAAUCACCCGAGAUGUUCUUGAAAAUAACUAAUAAUAGUUAAUAUACUAAUGUGCAUGUGUUUAUAUAAUUUGCUUAUAAAUUCUUUUAUUUUGAAUGAAAUUAUUAACUCAACU